GUGGGGAAUCUUAGACAAUGGGGGCAACCCUGAUCUAGCCAUGCCGCGUGAGUGAUGAAGGCCUUAGGGUCGUAAAGCUCUUUCGCCGGGGAAGAUAAUGACUGUACCCGGUAAAGAAACCCCGGCUAACUCCGUGCCAGCAGCCGCGGUAAUACGGAGGGGGUUAGCGUUGUUCGGAAUUACUGGGCGUAAAGCGCGCGUAGGCGGAUCGGAAAGUUGGGGGUGAAAUCCCGGGGCUCAACCCCGGAAUUGCCUUCAAAACUCCCGGUCUUGAGGUCGAGAGAGGUGAGUGGAAUUCCGAGUGUAGAGGUGAAAUUCGUAGAUAUUCGGAGGAACACCAGUGGCGAAGGCGGCUCACUGGCUCGAUACUGACGCUGAGGUGCGAAAGCGUGGGGAGCAAACAGGAUUAGAUACCCUUGUAGUCC
Molecule: ribosomal RNA, 425 nt
Filed under: uncultured bacterium
Lineage: Bacteria
Description: bacterial SSU rRNA
Rfam family: Bacterial small subunit ribosomal RNA
Source: RNAcentral